Molecule: ribosomal RNA, 432 nt
Filed under: uncultured bacterium
Lineage: Bacteria
Description: partial 16S ribosomal RNA
Rfam family: Bacterial small subunit ribosomal RNA
Source: RNAcentral
AACGAACGCUGGCGGCAUGCCUAACACAUGCAAGUCGAACGAGACCUUCGGGUCUAGUGGCGCACGGGUGCGUAACGCGUGGGAACCUGCCCUUAGGUUCGGAAUAACUCCCCGAAAGGGGUGCUAAUACCGGAUAAUGUCUUCGGACCAAAGAUUUAUCGCCUUUGGAUGGGCCCGCGUUGGAUUAGCUAGUUGGUAGGGUAAAAGCCUACCAAGGCGACGAUCCAUAGCUGGUCUGAGAGGAUGAUCAGCCACACUGGGACUGAGACACGGCCCAGACUCCUACGGGAGGCAGCAGGGGGGAAUUUUGGAAAAGGGGCGAAAGCCUGACCCAGAAAUGCCGCGUGAGUGAUGAAGGGCUUAGGUUUGUAAAGCUCUUUUCCCCGGGAUGAUAAUGACAGUACCGGGAGAAUAAGCCCCGGCUAACUCCGU